RNAcentral lists this ribosomal RNA (217 nucleotides) under uncultured bacterium. Its description in RNAcentral is "partial 16S ribosomal RNA". It matches the Rfam family "Bacterial small subunit ribosomal RNA", at positions 328 to 538 of the family's 1533-position model. The record is from RNAcentral.
ACGCUCGACACCUACGGGAGGCAGCAGUGAGGAAUAUUGGUCAAUGGGCGCUAGCCUGAACCAGCCAAGUAGCGUGAAGGAUGAAGGCUCUAUGGGUCGUAAACUUCUUUUAUAUAAGAAUAAAGUGCAGUAUGUAUACUGUUUUGUAUGUAUUAUAUGAAUAAGGAUCGGCUAACUCCGCGCCAGCAGCCGCGGUAAUCUGAGCGGGCUGCAAGGC